This 263-nucleotide long non-coding RNA is filed under the name Pan troglodytes (chimpanzee). RNAcentral's name for it is "long non-coding RNA NONPTRT008874". The record is from RNAcentral. Lineage: Eukaryota; Metazoa; Chordata; Mammalia; Primates; Hominidae.
AUUAUCUUGGAAUGGAUGGCCCUCAGACCAUGGUGUGCCAGUAGUUCCUGGGGCUGUGGAUUCUAUCUGCACAUAUGCAUUUGGCAGAAUUUGGCAUGGCCAUUUCCUGUCCCUCCAAUAGCACCGCAUUCAGAUUCACCGUGACCACUAACAUCCAGUGUACUUUUUACCAUUUCUUUGUAAGGCGUCUCUACAAUCUCUUUCUCCAACAACUUUGAAGUUACUGGUGGCUGGAGUUCCAGAUGGCAGCGGUGAACUGUACC